This 637-nucleotide long non-coding RNA is filed under the name Mustela putorius furo (domestic ferret). Its description in RNAcentral is "lncRNA (ENSMPUG00000026709.1)". Lineage: Eukaryota; Metazoa; Chordata; Mammalia; Carnivora; Mustelidae. The record is from RNAcentral.
CACAGCCACAGUCCUGUCAUGACCAACAAGAGGAGUGAAAUACACUCAUGGAGGUGUCCUAUCCCCUGGGUGUAUGCAGAUUUGAUGAAACCCCAAAAUACUGCAAAGAAUACUGGUGGAGUAGCAGAGGCCCAGGGUCGGAACAAAACCACCUCCUUCCUCCUCAUCACAAUAGGCAUGGACUUCAUGACCAGUGGCUCCAGGAUGAAUGCCUGUGCAUCAAAGAAUGUCACAUUCUUCAGUGGUUCCCAGUCCAGGAGCACACAGCAUCAACCUCUCUGCCACUGUGACCAGUGAAGAUCCAGCCCCUUAUCCUGCUGACAGCACAACAAAAUCUAUCUAUAAACCACAGAUUCCAUCCAUUGCCAGCUGCAUACCCAGUAGGGAGAAGAAAUCUGAAAGAUGAAAGGAAACUGAGUAUUUACUUAGAUUAUUAUAAUGGAUUAAGUUUACCAAGUUAGACUAAAAUUUAAUUCCCAUCCUGGGAUCCAGGAGUAGAAACUUGGAAGUAACAUUAAUUUAAUUGAUAAAGAAAAAUUAAGAAGUUAUAUUUUCUUAUCUCUGAGUAUAAUAUGAAUGCAUUUUGCAAACCUGAUAUGAAUUUUCGUGGAAUGAAUAAACAGAUGGUAAACUCCCC